RNAcentral lists this ribosomal RNA (672 nucleotides) under Klebsiella pneumoniae. Its description in RNAcentral is "partial 23S ribosomal RNA". It matches the Rfam family "Bacterial large subunit ribosomal RNA", at positions 2259 to 2925 of the family's 2925-position model. Lineage: Bacteria; Pseudomonadati; Pseudomonadota; Gammaproteobacteria; Enterobacterales; Enterobacteriaceae. RNAcentral also lists the same sequence under 1 other name. The record is from RNAcentral.
UGGUGGGUAGUUUGACUGGGGCGGUCUCCUCCCAAAGCGUAACGGAGGAGCACGAAGGUUAGCUAAUCCUGGUCGGACAUCAGGAGGUUAGUGCAAUGGCAUAAGCUAGCUUGACUGCGAGCGUGACGGCGCGAGCAGGUGCGAAAGCAGGUCAUAGUGAUCCGGUGGUUCUGAAUGGAAGGGCCAUCGCUCAACGGAUAAAAGGUACUCCGGGGAUAACAGGCUGAUACCGCCCAAGAGUUCAUAUCGACGGCGGUGUUUGGCACCUCGAUGUCGGCUCAUCACAUCCUGGGGCUGAAGUAGGUCCCAAGGGUAUGGCUGUUCGCCAUUUAAAGUGGUACGCGAGCUGGGUUUAGAACGUCGUGAGACAGUUCGGUCCCUAUCUGCCGUGGGCGCUGGAGAAUUGAGGGGGGCUGCUCCUAGUACGAGAGGACCGGAGUGGACGCAUCACUGGUGUUCGGGUUGUCAUGCCAAUGGCACUGCCCGGUAGCUAAAUGCGGAAGAGAUAAGUGCUGAAAGCAUCUAAGCACGAAACUUGCCCCGAGAUGAGUUCUCCCUGAGACUUUAAGUCUCCUGAAGGAACGUUAAAGACGAUGACGUUGAUAGGCCGGGUGUGUAAGCGCAGCGAUGCGUUGAGCUAACCGGUACUAAUGAACCGUGAGGCUUAACCUU